UGAACGCUGGCGGCGUGCCUCAUACAUGCAAGUCGAGCGACCAGACGAGGAGCUUGCUCCUCUGACGUUAGCGGCGGACGGGUGAGUAACACGUGGAUAACCUACCUAUAAGACUGGGAUAACUUCGGGAAACCGGAGCUAAUACCGGAUAAUAUAUUGAACCGCAUGGUUCAAUAGUGAAAGACGGUUUUGCUGUCACUUAUAGAUGGAUCCGCGCCGCAUUAGCUAGUUGGUAAGGUAACGGCUUACCAAGGCGACGAUGCGUAGCCGACCUGAGAGGGUGAUCGGCCACACUGGAACUGAGACACGGUCCAGACUCCUACGGGAGGCAGCAGUAGGGAAUCUUCCGCAAUGGGCGAAAGCCUGACGGAGCAACGCCGCGUGAGUGAUGAAGGUCUUCGGAUCGUAAAACUCUGUUAUUAGGGAAGAACAAAUGUGUAAGUAACUAUGCACGUCUUGACGGUACCUAAUCAGAAAGCCACGGCUAACUACGUG
RNAcentral lists this ribosomal RNA (495 nucleotides) under uncultured bacterium. RNAcentral describes it as "partial 16S ribosomal RNA". It matches the Rfam family "Bacterial small subunit ribosomal RNA", at positions 30 to 507 of the family's 1533-position model. The record is from RNAcentral.